GCCUCCUUGGCUCAGUUGGCUAGAGCGCGAGUCUCAUAAUCUCGAGGUCGCAAGUUCGAGCCUUGCAGGGGGCA
Molecule: transfer RNA, 74 nt
Filed under: Flammulina velutipes KACC42780
Lineage: Eukaryota; Fungi; Basidiomycota; Agaricomycetes; Agaricales; Physalacriaceae
Description: tRNA-Met (CAT) (tRNA-Met-CAT-2 1 to 3)
Rfam family: tRNA
About the family: Transfer RNA (tRNA) molecules are approximately 80 nucleotides in length. Their secondary structure includes four short double-helical elements and three loops (D, anti-codon, and T loops).
Source: RNAcentral